UAUCCGUAACGGAAACCAUAACACCACCAUUAAAAAUAUUAGCACUGUUUCAUCCAAAGAAUUCCUUUUCCUUUUAUUGAAACCUAAAUAAGCAAAUCAAUGGUUCCAUGCGUUACGAAAAUAAAGAUACCCAUUAAGUUUCUUUCUUCGCUAUUAUUUCUCCUUAUUAAUCCCUGAAAUGUUCGACUAUUUAAAUCCCUAAAAGAGUUAUCUUGCACAGGUUCUCUGUGCUUACAAUCCCCUUUUUCUCUAUCAUGAUUCAUGUUAGUUUCGGUGAUUUUGGUAUCUUUCGAGAUUCUCUGAUUAUUUUGAUAUUGUUGUAAAGUUUUAUUUGGUGCUUUUCAAGAAGCUUUUCUCUGAUUGAUUUUGUUGACGGUGGUGCACCGCAAAUUUUGAAAUCAGAGAAAAACAUCAAUCUCAGAUGGUUAAUGUCUAUGGUGGUGUAUUCCCGGAGGUUCUCAAGCUUAACAGUUUCAUGUUCUUCGUUAUUCUACAUUACACUCUUUUUGGAAUUAAUCAUACCCAGUAUUGGGAUAUAUUUAUUUUGUAAGUGUUGGUUUCCUGACUCAUUCUAAUUUUUGGCAUCACCAAUUGAGCGUGUUUCACAAGUAUAAGAAUGUGCACCUGUGAUGAAGUACCUUUACUCAAAAAUGUCAAAGGUACUUUAUUCGCUUUAAAGUGACAGACCUGGUGGCCGGUAGCACCAUAUUUCCUUCAUGGAUAGUGAAAUCCAUCGUAUUGUCCAAGGCACUGCCUCAAACGUAGUUAUGAUGGGAGAGGUACGCCGCCCUGUUUACUUAAUUUUUUGGAAUUGUAGAUACCUAUGUCAAUGGUACAGACAUGAUGGGUACUCUUGAUGCAACAAGAGACCUUAAAAGCUAUUUGAAAUCCAAAUUUGAGAUGAAAAAUCUUGGAAAAGCUCGACAGA
Papaver somniferum (opium poppy) is the source of this 928-nucleotide long non-coding RNA. RefSeq lists it as uncharacterized. NCBI's taxonomy places the organism in Eukaryota, Viridiplantae, Streptophyta, Magnoliopsida, Ranunculales, Papaveraceae. The record is from RefSeq and is a predicted model, not a curated record. The transcript is spliced from 3 exons.